This is a non-coding RNA of Hemibagrus wyckioides, 336 nucleotides long. NCBI's taxonomy places the organism in Eukaryota, Metazoa, Chordata, Actinopteri, Siluriformes, Bagridae. The record is from the annotation of a RefSeq genome assembly.
AUGAUCACUGUUAUAUUCAUGUGUCUGUGGCUUUCAUUAGGUGACUCCAUGGCAGAUCCAAUAGAGCCACGUUCCCCUCUUAAAGUUGUAGAUGAAGGUGAUGAUGUUACUCUGUCCUGCAGCUACAAAAACAGUGCUACAGCACAAAAUCUGUUCUGGUACAAACAACAUCCAAAAUCUAAACCUGAGUUCCUUUUUUACAUCUUACGGAAUGGAGAUAAAACUGACCCUAUGCCACCACGUCUGUCUGCUGAAGUUGAUGAUAAAACUAAACAAGUGGAUCUGAUCAUCUCCUCUGCUGCUGUAUCAGACUCUGCUCUAUACUACUGUGCUCUG